This 563-nucleotide ribosomal RNA is filed under the name uncultured Acidiphilium sp. RNAcentral describes it as "bacterial SSU rRNA". It matches the Rfam family "Bacterial small subunit ribosomal RNA", at positions 337 to 918 of the family's 1533-position model. The record is from RNAcentral. Lineage: Bacteria; Pseudomonadati; Pseudomonadota; Alphaproteobacteria; Acetobacterales; Acidocellaceae.
UCCUACGGGAGGCAGCAGUCGGGAAUAUUGUACAAUGGGCGAAAGCCCGAUCCAGCAAGCCCGCAGGUAGGAAGAAGGUCUUCGGAUUGUAAAGUCCUUUGAGAGGAAGAUAUGAUGACGGUACCCGCAGAAUAAUCUCCGGCUAACUUCGUGCCAGCAGCCGCGGUAAUACGAAGGGGGCUAGCGUUGCUCGGAAUGACUGGGCGUAAAGGGCGCGUAGGCGGACGGCACAGUCAGGCGUGAAAUCAGGGGGCUCACCCUGGGGACUGGGUCUGAGACGUGUUGUCUUGAGUAUGGAAGACGGUUGUGGAAUUUCCAGUGUAGAGGAGAAAUUUGUAGAUAUGGGAAAGCACCCCGGUGGAGAAGGCGGCAACGUGGUCCAUUACUGACGGUCAGGCGAGAAAGCGUGGGGAGCAAACAGGAUUAUAUACCCUGGUAGUCCACGCUGUAAACGAUGUGUGCAAGAUGUUGGGGUGUCAAGCACUUCAGUGUUGCAGCUAACGCGGUAAGCACACCGCCUGGGGAGUACGGCCGCAAGGUUGAAACUCAAAUGAAUGACGGGG